UACGGAGGGUGCAAGCGUUAUCCGGAUUUAUUGGGUUUAAAGGGUACGCAGGCGGCAAAAUAAGUCAGUGGUGAAAGCCAGCAGCUCAACUGUUGAACUGCCAUUGAUACUACUUUGCUUGAGUGCAGUCGAGGUAGGUGGAAUUCCACAUGUAGCGGUGAAAUGUAUAGAUAUGUGGAGGAACGCCGAUAACGAAGGUAGCUUACUAGGCUGUUACUGACGCUGAGGUACGAAAGCGUGGGGAGCGAACGGG
This 253-nucleotide ribosomal RNA is filed under the name uncultured bacterium. RNAcentral describes it as "partial 16S ribosomal RNA". It matches the Rfam family "Bacterial small subunit ribosomal RNA", at positions 524 to 776 of the family's 1533-position model. The record is from RNAcentral.